GGUACUCGAGUGGCGAACGGGUGAGUAACACGUGAGUAACCUGCCCUUGACUUCGGGAUAACUUCAGGAAACUGGGGCUAAUACCGGAUAGGAAUCCCUGCUGCAUGGUGGGGGUUGGAAAGCUUCGGCGGUUUUGGAUGGACUCGCGGCUUAUCAGCUUGUUGGUGGGGUAGUGGCUUACCAAGGCUUUGACGGGUAGCCGGCCUGAGAGGGCGACCGGCCACAUUGGGACUGAGAUACGGCCCAG
This 247-nucleotide ribosomal RNA is filed under the name uncultured Actinomycetales bacterium. RNAcentral's name for it is "partial 16S ribosomal RNA". It matches the Rfam family "Bacterial small subunit ribosomal RNA", at positions 86 to 334 of the family's 1533-position model. The record is from RNAcentral. Lineage: Bacteria; Bacillati; Actinomycetota; Actinomycetes; Actinomycetales.